GUAAUUAUUAUGUUGUUACUGACGCUGACUGCUAUUGCAAAAGGUUUAUGGGUUGUCCUUAAUGGCGGGCGAGCCCACCAAGGAAACAAGAAGUACGCAAAAGACACGGGUGAAUAAUUCAGCAAGGCCGGCCCAACUGCGCACGCCGCGAAGCAGCGCAUAGCUGGGGGUGUCCAGCCCGCCUUCUUAUUGUGUAAUGAUCCCUCCGCAGGUUCACCUACGGAGA
Molecule: unclassified non-coding RNA, 226 nt
Filed under: uncultured fungus
Lineage: Eukaryota; Fungi
Description: sequence contains ITS1
Source: RNAcentral